This 77-nucleotide transfer RNA is filed under the name Alkalinema sp. FACHB-956. Its description in RNAcentral is "tRNA-His". It matches the Rfam family "tRNA". Rfam says of the family: Transfer RNA (tRNA) molecules are approximately 80 nucleotides in length. The record is from RNAcentral. Lineage: Bacteria; Bacillati; Cyanobacteriota; Cyanophyceae; Leptolyngbyales; Leptolyngbyaceae.
GUGACUGAAUCCGAAGGGGUCGAGGAGCUAGUCUGUGAAUCUAGUGUUAGCGAGUUCGAGUCUCGUCAGUCACCCCA